GGACUACUCGGGUAUCUAAUCCUGUUUGCUCCCCUUGCUUUCGCGCAUUAGCGUCAGGAAUAAGCUAGAAAAUCGCCUUCGCCACUGGUGUUCUUCCACAUAUCUACGCAUUUCACCGCUACUUGUGGAAUUCCAUUUUCUCCGCCUACCCUCAAGAAAGACAGUUUCAAAUGCUGUUCCGGAGUUGAGCUCCGGGAUUUCACAUCUGACUUAUCUUCCCGCCUACGCGCCCUUUACGCCCAAUAAAUCCGAUUAAUGCUUGCACCCUCCGUAUUACCGCGGCUGCUGGCAC
RNAcentral lists this ribosomal RNA (292 nucleotides) under uncultured bacterium. Its description in RNAcentral is "partial 16S ribosomal RNA". The record is from RNAcentral.